Non-coding RNA from Schistosoma mattheei, 46 nucleotides. NCBI's taxonomy places the organism in Eukaryota, Metazoa, Platyhelminthes, Trematoda, Strigeidida, Schistosomatidae. The record is from Rfam.
GCACUGCUGAUGAGUCCCAUAAUAGAACAAAACCGCCGUCCAGUAC